Molecule: unclassified non-coding RNA, 419 nt
Filed under: Arcanobacterium haemolyticum
Lineage: Bacteria; Bacillati; Actinomycetota; Actinomycetes; Actinomycetales; Actinomycetaceae
Description: partial 16S-23S ribosomal RNA intergenic spacer
Rfam family: Bacterial large subunit ribosomal RNA (bases 236-419)
Source: RNAcentral
UCUAAGGAGUCACGUACCACGCGUUAUUGUGUUUAUUGUUGUGUGGUGCCUAGCCUGGUGGUUGGGUAGUGGUUUUUAGUGGUUUAUCGUAUGAGGGUUGGCAUGCUGUUGGGGUGUGGGAUAAUAGAUCCUGUGCUGCCUGUGCUUGCGUGUUGUGACGGUUGUUGCAGCGUGUGGGUGUGGUGUUGGUGUGGUGGUUGAGAAUUGUAUAGUGGACGCGAGCAUCUUUGGUUUUUUGUAAGUGUUCAAGAGCGUUCGGUGGAUGCCUUGGCAUGCAGAGCCGAUGAAGGACGUUGUAGCCUGCGAUAAGCCUCGGGGAGUUGGCAAACGAGCUGUGAUCCGGGGGUGUCCGAAUGGGGGAACCUGGCCAGAGUUAUUUCUGGUUACCCGCACCUGAAUGUAUAGGGUGUGUGGGGGAA